AUGUGUGAAGACGAGAGAGUGGGGUGGGGGAUCUGCACUGUGCGAGAGAGAAGACAAGAGAGGCGACAUAAUUGGGAAUAGUUGGCUUGGAUGAGCAUCGCCUGUGUGAAUCCCCUUCUUAUAGGGUGGAAUGCGUAGAGGCAGCCUCUCCCCGUCGGAUGUGGCCACGCCUUUUUAGGCACACACCUCGAGCACCGUUUUGGUCCACCUCUCCCACGUCCCGCAUUUAAUGCGCGUCAUGGGUGGGCAGUAAAAACAUCAUUACAACCGUAGUGAAGUUCAACCAAGUGUGUUUGUGCACUAUUUUUGGCAUAGCCCAACAACGUCAAGGACUUAAGCGUGGCCCUGGCAUGGCGGCUCCUGUGAGUAUACUAAAGAAUUGGUCCUUUAGUACCCUGACUUGUGCAUGGACGACAUCAACCUCCUUCCUGGCAAGCCAUGACG
RNAcentral lists this long non-coding RNA (444 nucleotides) under Hordeum vulgare. RNAcentral describes it as "long non-coding RNA (HVUL_LNC007430)". The record is from RNAcentral. Lineage: Eukaryota; Viridiplantae; Streptophyta; Magnoliopsida; Poales; Poaceae.